UGUAAGCGUAUACCAAAGUUGUUGCAGUUAAAACGCUCGUAGUCGGAAUUUGGCAGUUCCGGAAGUGUGCACGUCGUGUGCGCACUUUGCGGGGACUGCUUUUGUGGUCUUGCGUAGGAUGAGGCACUUUCAUUAGUGAACGUCCUCACGCAACCACUCUUUACUGUGAGAAAAUCAGAGUGCUCAAAGCAGGCAUUUGCCGUGAAUGUAUUAGCAUGGAAUAAUAGAAUAGGACUCGGUUCUAUUUUGUUGGUUUGUUGGGACUGAGUAAUGAUUAAGAGGGACAGUUGGGGGCAUUUGUAUUCCGGCGCUAGAGGUGAAAUUCUUAGAUUGCCGGAAGACAAACUGCUGCGAAAGCGUCUGCCAAGGAUGUUUCAUUGA
RNAcentral lists this ribosomal RNA (381 nucleotides) under uncultured eukaryote. RNAcentral describes it as "partial 18S ribosomal RNA". It matches the Rfam family "Eukaryotic small subunit ribosomal RNA", at positions 592 to 976 of the family's 1831-position model. The record is from RNAcentral.